RNAcentral lists this ribosomal RNA (314 nucleotides) under uncultured bacterium. Its description in RNAcentral is "partial 16S ribosomal RNA". It matches the Rfam family "Bacterial small subunit ribosomal RNA", at positions 499 to 807 of the family's 1533-position model. The record is from RNAcentral.
UUAUAAGAGACAGCAGCAGCCACGGUAAUACGAAGGGGGCUAGCGUUGUUCGGAUUUACUGGGCGUAAAGCGCACGUAGGCGGACUUUUAAGUCAGGGGUGAAAUCCCGGGGCUCAACCCCGGAACUGCCUUUGAUACUGGGAGUCUUGAGUUCGAGAGAGGUGAGUGGAAUUGCGAGUGUAGAGGUGAAAUUCGUAGAUAUUCGCAGGAACACCAGUGGCGAAGGCGGCUCACUGGCUCGAUACUGACGCUGAGGUGCGAAAGCGUGGGGAGCAAACAGGAUUAGAUAUCCCAGUAGUCCCUGUCUCUUAUAC